GACGAACGCUGGCGGCGUGCUUAACACAUGCAAGUCGAACGGAAAGGCCCUGCUUUUGUGGGGUGCUCGAGUGGCGAACGGGUGAGUAACACGUGAGUAACCUGCCCUUGACUUUGGGAUAACUUCAGGAAACUGGGGCUCAUACCGGAUAGGAGCUCCUGCUGCAUGGUGGGGGUUGGAAAGUUUCGGCGGUUGGGGAUGGACUCGCGGCUUAUCAGCUUGUUGGUGGGGUAGUGGCUUACCAAGGCUUUGACGGGUAGCCGGCCUGAGAGGGUGACCGGCCACAUUGGGACUGAGAGACGGACCAGACUCCUACGGGAGGCAGCAGGGGGGAAUAUUGCACAAUGAGCGGAAGCCUGAGGCAGCAACGCCGCGUGCGGGAUGACGGCCUUCGGGUGGUAAACCGCUUUCGCCGGUGACGAAGCGGGAGUGACGGUAAUGGGUAAGGAAGCAACGGCUAACUACGUG
Molecule: ribosomal RNA, 468 nt
Filed under: uncultured bacterium
Lineage: Bacteria
Description: partial 16S ribosomal RNA
Rfam family: Bacterial small subunit ribosomal RNA
Source: RNAcentral